ACAUUCGGCUACAAUGAGCUUCGUUCAGAAUCAUCGAAAUGAGUCCUGAAUUUCUUGGAACACACAACCGACUUCUGAACCUCAAACAAUCGUCAUCAUCAAUUUGAAACUCUGAUUCCAUAUUCGGAACACAUUCAGCCCGUUUUACAGCCAAUUCAUCAUCGACUUUCUGGGCUUCACGAAUUUGAUGAAUCAAUAAUGGUUUGGCCUUUAAUUCUGCCACUAACACAUUGUCGGAUAGAACAGACAAGUGUACAUUCAUCGCUCGUAAAGCAAACAGUGAUUUACGACUUAAGGC
RNAcentral lists this long non-coding RNA (298 nucleotides) under Gossypium barbadense (sea-island cotton). Its description in RNAcentral is "long non-coding RNA (GBAR_LNC002190)". Lineage: Eukaryota; Viridiplantae; Streptophyta; Magnoliopsida; Malvales; Malvaceae. The record is from RNAcentral.